GACGAACGCUGGCGGCGUGCUUAACACAUGCAAGUCGAACGGAAAGGCCCUGCUUUUGUGGGGUGCUCGAGUGGCGAACGGGUGAGUAACACGUGGGUAACCUGCCCUUGACUUUGGGAUAACUUCAGGAAACUGGGGCUAAUACCGGAUAGGAGCUCCUGCUGCAUGGUGGGGGUUGGAAAGUUUCGGCGGUUGGGGAUGGACUCGCGGCUUAUCAGCUUGUUGGUGGGGUAGUGGCUUACCAAGGCUUUGACGGGUAGCCGGCCUGAGAGGGUGACCGGCCACAUUGGGACUGAGAUACGGCCCAGACGCCUACGGGAGGCAGCAGUGGGGAAUAUUGCACAAUGGGCGGAAGCCUGAUGCAGCAACGCCGCGUGCGGGAUGACGGCCUUCGGGUUGUAAACCGCUUUCGCCUGUGACGAAGCGUGAGUGACGGUAAUGGGUAAAGAAGCACCGGCUAACUACGUG
Molecule: ribosomal RNA, 468 nt
Filed under: uncultured bacterium
Lineage: Bacteria
Description: partial 16S ribosomal RNA
Rfam family: Bacterial small subunit ribosomal RNA
Source: RNAcentral